AUGAACGCUGGCGGCGUGCUUAACACAUGCAAGUCGAACGAUGAAGCCCAGCUUGCUGGGUGGAUUAGUGGCGAACGGGUGAGUAACACGUGAGUAACCUGCCCUUAACUCUGGGAUAAGCCUGGGAAACUGGGUCUAAUACCGGAUAGGAGCGCCUACCGCAUGGUGGGUGUUGGAAAGAUUUAUCGGUUUUGGAUGGACUCGCGGCCUAUCAGCUUGUUGGUGAGGUAAUGGCUCACCAAGGCGACGACGGGUAGCCGGCCUGAGAGGGUGACCGGCCACACUGGGACUGAGACACGGCCCAGACUCCUACGGGAGGCAGCAGUGGGGAAUAUUGCACAAUGGGCGAAAGCCUGAUGCAGCGACGCCGCGUGAGGGAUGACGGCCUUCGGGUUGUAAACCUCUUUCAGUAGGGAAGAAGCGAAAGUGACGGUACCUGCAGAAGAAGCACCGGCUAACUACGU
This 464-nucleotide ribosomal RNA is filed under the name uncultured bacterium. Its description in RNAcentral is "partial 16S ribosomal RNA". It matches the Rfam family "Bacterial small subunit ribosomal RNA", at positions 29 to 506 of the family's 1533-position model. The record is from RNAcentral.